RNAcentral lists this long non-coding RNA (658 nucleotides) under Brassica napus (rape). Its description in RNAcentral is "long non-coding RNA (BNAP_LNC013393)". Lineage: Eukaryota; Viridiplantae; Streptophyta; Magnoliopsida; Brassicales; Brassicaceae. The record is from RNAcentral.
UGGGCACUUUAAUUAUUGUAUAAUAUUAUAUAAAAUAAGUAUAUAGUUUUAAAUUAUUUUUUAUGUUUAAUAAUCAUGUUUUGGUGCAGUUGUUUUUUGGGUUUAAUUUUGUUUAUUCAUAUUUCAGAUAAAAUGUCCGGGUCUAUUUAGAUAAUUUAUUUAUUGAUAGAUAAGUAUUAAGAAAAUGUACACCAAAAAAUAUUCUUAUAUAUGCACAUUUUAAUUUAUGAAUGGGUUUGAUAUAUGUGUUAUUUAUUAAUUAAAUCUUGAAUUUCACUUAAAUAAGAAAUGAUUAUUGGAGACUUAAAUGAAUAUUUGAUACCGUUUAACUGAACUAUUAUAAUUUUCUAGAUAUACAAUUUCAACUGAUAAAAUGAAACAUUGCAAUUUCUGGUGAUGGACCAUUACAAGUUUUAGUGAUGAAAAAUUGCAAUGUUUGGUGUUAACCAUUAUAACUCUUGGUUAACCUUUCGUGUAAAAUGAUGUGUCUUUUCAUCCUAAAUAUUGCAUAAGUUUUUAAGAGAUUGUUAUAAUAUAUAUAAGAAAGUGUAUUUAUAAGGAUGUGUCUUUUCAUGUUAAAAUUACAUUGAAUUUAAAAUAUUGUUAGAAAUGUAUAAUAAUUUGUCUUUUAUCAUAAACCUUAUAUAGAUUUUUUAAU